Long non-coding RNA from Mastomys coucha (southern multimammate mouse), 323 nucleotides. RefSeq lists it as uncharacterized. Lineage: Eukaryota; Metazoa; Chordata; Mammalia; Rodentia; Muridae. The record is from RefSeq and is a predicted model, not a curated record. The transcript is spliced from 3 exons.
AACUCCUGGGAGGUAUGGAGGCUAUUAUGACUCCAGAAGAUAGGCCAGAAACAAAGCUAUCAGAAGAUUCACAGUGCAUUUUUGGAAGCAACACAAUGUACACGACAGCAUUUUGUGACAUGAAACACAAAUGGAAGUUAUCGUUAAUAUCACUGUCAUCACCACACAGCUCUGGAAACUUGUCCUUCAGGCCAAUACCUAAGUUGAUAGACAGUGCCAUCUCUUUGAGGAAGCCAAGGAACUCUUCAACUCUGAGAUUAAUUUAGGAGACCAAAGAGAACUAGCAAACAAACAAAACCUGCAGAUAUUUAGAAGACUGAGAG